CUUCAGAGGGAGAAACUCACCCUUGGAUGGAUGCUUACUCUCUGCACUGAUUUUACUCCAGACCCCAUCAAGAGUUCAUGCCCACUACAGGACAGGCUGAGACUUCCUCCUGCUGCAGGGGGUCAGUGCUGACUGAUCCAAGCUAACUAGGGUUAUUCUGUUUCCUGGACCACUGAUUCACCAAAGGAUGGACCCAGUGCACAAUUCUGGCCAAUGUGAUACUGGGUGCAGUCAACUUGUGACCUUGAAGAAGAAAAAUCCCAGAUUAUUGCAAGAGAGCUGACAUCAUUGAGCUACUGAAUGAACUUCCCUGGGAUUACCCAGUGCCCAGACUUCC
Mesoplodon densirostris (Blainville's beaked whale) is the source of this 337-nucleotide long non-coding RNA. RefSeq lists it as uncharacterized. The transcript is spliced from 3 exons. The record is from RefSeq and is a predicted model, not a curated record. Lineage: Eukaryota; Metazoa; Chordata; Mammalia; Artiodactyla; Ziphiidae.